GGUUCAGGACGAACGCUGGCGGCGUGCCUAACACAUGCAAGUCGAGCGAGGAGAUCCUUCGGGAUGAUCCUAGCGGCGGACGGGUGAGUAACACGUGGGCAACCUGCCUCAUAGAGAGGAAUAGCCUUCCGAAAGGGAGAUUAAUACCUCAUAACAUUGCAGUUUCGCAUGGAACAGCAAUUAAAGGAGCAAUCCGCUAUGAGAUGGGCCCGCGGCGCAUUAGCUAGUUGGUGAGGUAACGGCUCACCAAGGCGACGAUGCGUAGCCGACCUGAGAGGGUGAUCGGCCACAUUGGGACUGAGACACGGCCCAGACUCCUACGGGAGGCAGCAGUGGGGAAUAUUGCACAAUGGGGGAAACCCUGAUGCAGCAACGCCGCGUGAGUGAUGACGGCCUUCGGGUUGUAAAGCUCUGUCUUCAGGGACGAUAAUGACGGUACCUGAGGAGGAAGCCACGGCUAACUACGUGCCAGCCGCCGC
RNAcentral lists this ribosomal RNA (479 nucleotides) under uncultured bacterium. Its description in RNAcentral is "bacterial SSU rRNA". It matches the Rfam family "Bacterial small subunit ribosomal RNA", at positions 21 to 518 of the family's 1533-position model. The record is from RNAcentral.